Long non-coding RNA from Sebastes umbrosus (honeycomb rockfish), 391 nucleotides. RefSeq lists it as uncharacterized. NCBI's taxonomy places the organism in Eukaryota, Metazoa, Chordata, Actinopteri, Perciformes, Sebastidae. The record is from RefSeq and is a predicted model, not a curated record. The transcript has 2 exons.
CGACCAGGGUGAUGUCCUUCAGCAGGUUGUCGCCUUGCAACGACAGCUCCUGCACCGGCUUCAGGGAAGCGCUGAUCCUGGAGAAGGAAGACAGAGACGGACGGAACGGCCUGCACACAAAAGAAGAAGAAGGUGUUAAUAGGUCAUAAGUGUCCAUCCCUUCUGACUGAUGCGAUGAGGAAGAUGAGUGGACAGAAGAUGGACCACGCUCGUCCUCUAAGGAAGGGACGGACGGACAGAAACAGACAGAGAGAUUAUUUAAAAAAACGGUAGACAGAAGAUAAAUAAGGUCAUUCAGUUCAGAAACUAUAAAAAAAAAUGUAUAUUUUUUAAAAAUACAUAAAUAAAUAUAUGCAGAAAUAAAUGUGAAAAUAAAUGAAAAUGCUUCUAA